AACGAACGCUGGCGGCAGGCCUAACACAUGCAAGUCGAGCGAGGACUUCGGUCCUAGCGGCGGACGGGUGAGUAACGCGUGGGAACGUGGCAUUUGCUUCGGAAUAGCCCUGGGAAACUGGGAGUAAUACCGGAUGAGCCCUUUGGGGGAAAGAUUUAUCGGCGAAGGAUCGGCCCGCGUUGGAUUAGGUAGUUGGUGGGGUAAUGGCCUACCAAGCCGACGAUCCAUAGCUGGUUUGAGAGGAUGAUCAGCCACACUGGGACUGAGACACGGCCCAGACUCCUACGGGAGGCAGCAGUGGGGAAUCUUAGACAAUGGGGGAAACCCUGAUCUAGCCAUGCCGCGUGAGCGAUGAAGGCCUUAGGGUUGUAAAGCUCUUUCAGCUGGGAAGAUAAUGACGGUACCAGCAGAAGAAGCCCCGGCUAACUCCGUG
RNAcentral lists this ribosomal RNA (433 nucleotides) under uncultured bacterium. RNAcentral describes it as "partial 16S ribosomal RNA". It matches the Rfam family "Bacterial small subunit ribosomal RNA", at positions 29 to 507 of the family's 1533-position model. The record is from RNAcentral.